GCUGGGCGGGCCGGGCUGGGCGGCCCCGGCGGCGGGGGCGGUCCGCUCCCGGAGGCCGCGCCUCCUUUGCACCCUCCUUCCUGAAGAUGGCCGCGCAGGCCAGGGCUCCGGCACCCGGCUGCGGACCAGAUCCCCUGGGCUGCACCCGGCCUUGCGCCCCUGGUCCGCGCUCGCAGGCUCGGAAACGGGCGGUCCUCCCGAGGCUGAAAGUGUGCUACAGGGGGAACUGGACCAGAGCGUUCUGAGGCUUGCUUUACUAAGAUGGCACAAACGGUGAGUCCAGAGCUAGUUUUGAACAGGCCUCUCUGUUUCCUAAGCCUGGCCUUUCCCAUAAGGCACAGCGCAUCUGUAAGAUGAGCCUAUAAAAUAGGAGCCAAACUAUCAGGAGGGCACUGAUAGGUUUCCAGGAGAAUGGCAGAAGCGCCCCCCCCCACCUCCCGCUGCCACACUCACUCCCUGGGAAUGAAGCCAUCAGAGUUGGACAGCAAGAGACAACAGUCUACAGGAAACAACUGCCUGCAAAGAUUAACCACCUAUAAAGAUUAACUGCCCCCUGUACGUCAAUUCCUGUUGUUGCACUUCACUGGUCGUGAGACUCAGACUCCAAUCAUCUCUCAUUGUUCUGAUUUUUCCUUUCCCCUAAAAUUUUCCUGCCACAAUCACUUGGUCAUGGGACUUGACCCCCACUCCCUCCCCAAAUUGUGGAACCUUCCUUUCAUUGUCCUUGCCACGAGUUCCUACCAUAGACCCUCACCACAAAUGCCCACUAUGGCCCUUUUUAGGACCAAAUUCUUCUCAAAGUCAGUGCUGAUGCUAUCCUGAGCUCAGCCCAUCCUUCAUUUCAGACGCCUUAGUCAAUCUCUCUCGCUUUACUGACUUGGCCUCGUGCAUUCCUCCUUCGGCAAACCUAACAGGCACAUUUUGGAGCUUAAGAACAAAUUCCUUAUAGGCUUUGAUAUCUGAAAAUGUUGACUAGGUUUGGCCCCUGAAAUGACACCUGAAUUUGUUUCUUAAUUUAAAAAAAAAAAAAAAAAGACGAACAGACACAUAUAGCAUAAUGUCACAGAGCCAUCUAGACUAGGAGUCCUCUUGGAUUUGGAGUUGACGACCCUGGUUAUGAGGUACUUGUCCCUCAGCCAGGUCAUCUCACCCUUGUACACUUCAGGCACGUCC
Molecule: long non-coding RNA, 1173 nt
Filed under: Sus scrofa (pig)
Lineage: Eukaryota; Metazoa; Chordata; Mammalia; Artiodactyla; Suidae
Description: lncRNA (ENSSSCG00070012237.1)
Source: RNAcentral